UUGACCUCGGAUCAGGUAGGGAUACCCGCUGAACUUAAGCAUAUCAAUCAGCGGAGGAAAAGAAACCAACAGGGAUUGCCCUAGUAACGGCGAGUGAAGCGGCAAGAGCUCAAAUUUGAAAGCUGGCCCCCUCGGGGCCCGCAUUGUAAUUUGCAGAGGAUGCUUCGGGCGUGGCCCCUGUCUAAGUGCCCUGGAACGGGCCGUCAGAGAGGGUGAGAAUCCCGUAUGGGAUGGGGUGCCCACGCCCGUGUGAAGCUCCUUCGACGAGUCGAGUUGUUUGGGAAUGCAGCUCUAAAUGGGUGGUAAAUUUCAUCUAAAGCUAAAUAUUGGCCGGAGACCGAUAGCGCACAAGUAGAGUGAUCGAAAGAUGAAAAGCACUUUGAAAAGAGAGUUAAAAAGCACGUGAAAUUGUUGAAAGGGAAGCGCUUGCGACCAGACUCGCCCCAGGGGUUCAACCGGCUUUCGGGCCGGUGUACUUCCCCCGGGGCGGGCCAGCGUCGGUUUUGGCGGCCGGUCAAAGGCCCCUGGAAUGUAACGCCUCUCGGGGCGUCUUAUAGCCAGGGGUGCCAUGCGGCCCGCCGGGACCGAGGAACGCGCUUCGGCUCGGACGCUGGCAUAAUGGUCGUAAGCGACC
This 634-nucleotide ribosomal RNA is filed under the name Penicillium charlesii. RNAcentral describes it as "eukaryotic LSU rRNA". It matches the Rfam family "Eukaryotic large subunit ribosomal RNA", at positions 1 to 649 of the family's 3401-position model. Lineage: Eukaryota; Fungi; Ascomycota; Eurotiomycetes; Eurotiales; Aspergillaceae. The record is from RNAcentral.